UGCACUAUUUUGGAGAUGCCCUGGCCUAAUGUUGAUGUUGGUGAGAGGGGCAAGCAGAUCGGUAUGCUAAUUGGAUACCUUUUUAAAAAAUUUCCAAACUGAUAGUUCAUGCAUUCUGUAAGGCCUCAAAUUAAUCAAAGAUUUAACUGUGAUUCUUGUUUCAAACAAAGUGCUUUAGAUCCUGUAGUCGUUCUUCAGGUAUUUUGUAAGGCAUCAAAUCAAAUAUUUGACAGCGGUCCUGGUUUCAAAAACAUCGCUCUCAAAUCCUGAAGUUAGUCCUCAGACAGACAAAUAGUUUCUCAUUUGCAAGAGAUUAAAGAUGACUUAGAGCCCAAUGUCACUUGUGGUUUGGGAAAGGCCGCUGCAUCCAUUACGAUGAAGAAUGUUUGAGAUCAAAAUUAUCGGACUUGAUUAUGAGGAAUCACUACUGUACCCACAUGUAGAAGAUGACUUGACGAAGCUCACAGUGAAUUUACUGUUAUUUGAAAAGUGGGCAUUAAGCAUAAACUUGCUCAAAUCCCAAAUAAUCGAAAGAUGCAGUAUGAUCACACCCAGUUUUGUGAAUAUACAAUUCUCAAGGCAACUAUGAUCACACCCAGUAUGCUUGAGUUAACUAAUGUUGAUGGUUUUCAAAGGAUUUGUGUUGGUGGCUGUAUAGUAGCAGGCAAGUUUAUCAUGGUGCCUAGCUAUAUGAGAUGAUGAUAUGAGUUUACAUCUAGGUUUCUUUUCAAUUUUAAUUUGCAAUUAAGUUAUUGUUUGCAGAUUGGUGUGCUAUGUUGUAGAAAAAUUUCUAUUCAUGAUUAUCUAGA
Ipomoea nil (Japanese morning glory) is the source of this 809-nucleotide long non-coding RNA. RefSeq lists it as uncharacterized. The transcript has 6 exons. NCBI's taxonomy places the organism in Eukaryota, Viridiplantae, Streptophyta, Magnoliopsida, Solanales, Convolvulaceae. The record is from RefSeq and is a predicted model, not a curated record.